UGGGGUGUACCAGCUGGCCUCAUUCAUGAUGUCCCCUGCCCCCCAUGCCCCUGAUGCCACCGUGGUGUCCCCACAGGAGACGGUGGCAGUGAACCAGCCAGCGUCCUUUGCCGUGCAGCUGAACGGGGCGCGUGGCGUCAUCGAUGCCAAAGUGCACACGCCUGCAGGGGUGGUGGAGGAGUGUUAUGUGUCCGAGCUGGACAGCGGUGAGGGCACAUGGGGACACCGCGGGGACACCGUGGGGACACUGGGACACCGGGUCUGCGAAUGUGGGGUUGUGGGCACAGGACACAGGGACAUCUGAUGUGGGGACACGGGGAUUGAGCACAUGGGGACAUAGGACAUGGGGGCAGAGUGACACAGGACAUCCCCCAGACUAGUACACACUGGGGUUCUUGUGUGGGGUGUGGGGACAUGGGGGUGUGGGGACAUGGGGACACAGGACACAGGGAUAUGGGGACAUGUCUGUGUCCCCCUGAUAUGCACUGGGGUUCCUGCUGGGCUGGAACAGAGCUGUGGGGACAUGGGGACACGGUGACAUGUCUGUGUCCCCCCAGACCGGUACGCGCUGGGGUUCCUGCCACGUGAGAACGGAGUCCACUCCAUCGACCUGCGCUUCAAUGGGCGCCACGUGCCCGGGAGCCCCUUCAACAUCCGCGUGGGCGAGCAGAGCCAGGCCGGGGACCCUGGGCUCGUCACUGCCUUUGGGCCGGGCCUCGAGGGUGGCCGCACAGGGGUGCCCUCUGAGUUCCUGGUGCAGACAGCCAAUGCAGGGGCAGGAGCACUGGCUGUCACCAUUGAUGGACCCUCCAAAGUGGAGCUGGACUGUACUGAGGUCCCCGAGGGCCACCGCGUCACCUACACCCCAAUGGCCCCUGGCAACUACCUCAUCUCCAUCAAGUAUGGGGGCCCCCAUCACAUCGUGGGGAGCCCCUUCAAAGCCAAGGUCACUGGCCCACGGCUGUCAGGCGGGCACAGUCUGCACGAGACCUCGACAGUGCUGGUGGAGCCGGUGGUGAGGGCAGGGUCGCGGGGCCCCCCUGCCUUUGGGGGUGUCACCAAAGCCCCAUCGGAUGCUGGGCAGGUGGUGGCCCGGGGGCCAGGGCUGGCAACCGCCCGCCUGGGCCACAAGAACCACUUCACUGUGGACUGCAGCAAGGCCGGUGAGGGGCCCUGGGGGUCGUGGGGGCUUGGGG
RNAcentral lists this long non-coding RNA (1196 nucleotides) under Cyanistes caeruleus (blue tit). RNAcentral describes it as "lncRNA (ENSCCEG00000019856.1)". Lineage: Eukaryota; Metazoa; Chordata; Aves; Passeriformes; Paridae. The record is from RNAcentral.